CCUACGGGAGGCAGCAGUGGGGAAUAUUGCACAAUGGGCGCAAGCCUGAUGCAGCGACGCCGCGUGAGGGAUGAAGGCCUUCGGGUUGUAAACCUCUUUCAGUAGGGAAGAAGCUGGUCUUUCGGGGUUGGUGACGGUACCUGCAGAAGAAGCGCCGGCUAACUACGUGCCAGCAGCCGCGGUAAUACGUAGGGCGCAAGCGUUAUCCGGAAUUAUUGGGCGUAAAGAGCUCGUAGGCGGUUUGUCGCGUCUGCCGUGAAAGUCCGGGGCUUAACUCCGGAUCUGCGGUGGGUACGGGCAGACUAGAGUGCAGUAGGGGAGACUGGAAUUCCUGGUGUAGCGGUGAAAUGCGCAGAUAUCAGGAGGAACACCGAUGGCGAAGGCAGGUCUCUGGGCUGUAACUGACGCUGAGGAGCGAAAGCAUGGGGAGCGAACAGGAUUAGAUACCCUGGUAGUCCAUGCCGUAAACGUUGGGCACUAGGUGUGGGGGACAUUCCACGUUUUCCGCGCCGUAGCUAACGCAUUAAGUGCCCCGCCUGGGGAGUACGGCCGCAAGGCUAAAACUCAAAGGAAUUGACGGGGGCCCGCACAAGCGGCGGAGCAUGCGGAUUAAUUCGAUGCAACGCGAAGAACCUUAC
This 638-nucleotide ribosomal RNA is filed under the name uncultured Arthrobacter sp. Its description in RNAcentral is "bacterial SSU rRNA". It matches the Rfam family "Bacterial small subunit ribosomal RNA", at positions 338 to 974 of the family's 1533-position model. Lineage: Bacteria; Bacillati; Actinomycetota; Actinomycetes; Micrococcales; Micrococcaceae. The record is from RNAcentral.